RNAcentral lists this ribosomal RNA (726 nucleotides) under uncultured bacterium. RNAcentral's name for it is "bacterial SSU rRNA". It matches the Rfam family "Bacterial small subunit ribosomal RNA", at positions 94 to 823 of the family's 1533-position model. The record is from RNAcentral.
AGCGGCGAACGGGUGAGUAACACGUAGGUGAUCUGCCCAUCAGACGGGGACAACGAUUGGAAACGAUCGCUAAUACCGGAUAGGACGAAAGUUUAAAGGUGCUUCUGGCACCGCUGAUGGAUGAGCCUGCGGCGCAUUAGCUAGUUGGUAGGGUAAAGGCCUACCAAGGCGACGAUGCGUAGCCGACCUGAGAGGGUGAACGGCCACACUGGGACUGAGACACGGCCCAGACUCCUACGGGAGGCAGCAGUAGGGAAUCUUCGGCAAUGGGCGAAAGCCUGACCGAGCAACGCCGCGUGAAUGAUGAAGGCCUUCGGGUUGUAAAAUUCUGUUAUAAGGGAAGAACGACUUUAGUAGGAAAUGGCUAGAGUGUGACGGUACCUUAUGAGAAAGCCACGGCUAACUACGUGCCAGCAGCCGCGGUAAUACGUAGGUGGCGAGCGUUAUCCGGAAUUAUUGGGCGUAAAGAGCGCGCAGGUGGUUGAUUAAGUCUGAUGUGAAAGCCCACGGCUUAACCGUGGAGGGUCAUUGGACACUGGUCGACUUGAGUGCAGAAGAGGGAAGUGGAAUUCCAUGUGUAGCGGUGAAAUGCGUAGAGAUAUGGAGGAACACCAGUGGCGAAGGCGGCUUCCUGGUCUGUAACUGACACUGAGGCGCGAAAGCGUGGGGAGCAAACAGGAUUAGAUACCCUGGUAGUCCACGCCGUACACGAUGAGUGCUAAGUGU